GACGAACGCUGGCGGCGUGCUUAACACAUGCAAGUCGAACGGAAAGGCCCUGCUUUUGUGGGGUGCUCGAGUGGCGAACGGGUGAGUAACACGUGAGCAACCUGCCCUUGACUUUGGGAUAACUUCAGGAAACUGGGGCUAAUACCGGAUAGGAGCUCCUGCUGCAUGGUGGGGGUUGGAAAGUUUCGGCGGUUGGGGAUGGACUCGCGGCUUAUCAGCUUGUUGGUGGGGUAGUGGCUUACCAAGGCUUUGACGGGUAGCCGGCCUGAGAGGGUGACCGGCCACAUUGGGACUGAGAUACGGCCCAGACUCCUACGGGAGGCAGCAGUGGGGAAUAUUGCACAAUGGGCGGAAGCCUGAUGCAGCAACGCCGCAUGCGGGAUGACGGCCUUCGGGUUGUAAACCGCUUUCGCCUGUGACGAAGCGUGAGUGACGGUAAUGGGUAAAGAAGCACCGGCUAACUACGUG
This 468-nucleotide ribosomal RNA is filed under the name uncultured bacterium. Its description in RNAcentral is "partial 16S ribosomal RNA". It matches the Rfam family "Bacterial small subunit ribosomal RNA", at positions 28 to 507 of the family's 1533-position model. The record is from RNAcentral.